GGACUACAAGGGUAUCUAAUCCUGUUUGCUCCCCAUGCUUUCGUGCCUCAGUGUCAGUAUCUGUCCAGGAAGUCGCCUUCGCCACUGGUGUUCCUUCCGAUAUCUACGCAUUUCACCGCUACACCGGAAAUUCCACCUCCCUCUACAGUACUCUAGCUCAACAGUAUUAGGCGCAAUUCCCAGGUUAAGCCCGGGGCUUUCACACCUAACUUAUCAAACCACCUACGCACCCUUUACGCCCAGUAAUUCCGAUUAACGCUUGCACCCUCUGUAUUACCGCGGCUGCUGGCAC
Molecule: ribosomal RNA, 292 nt
Filed under: uncultured bacterium
Lineage: Bacteria
Description: partial 16S ribosomal RNA
Source: RNAcentral